Molecule: long non-coding RNA, 274 nt
Filed under: Brassica napus (rape)
Lineage: Eukaryota; Viridiplantae; Streptophyta; Magnoliopsida; Brassicales; Brassicaceae
Description: long non-coding RNA (BNAP_LNC026856)
Source: RNAcentral
ACUAGUUAAGUCGUUCUUUACUAUAUCAUAAAAAAAUUGGUAAAACAGAGCUGUCAUCCCAUCUGGUCCGUGAGCUUUCUCAGGAACUCAUUAACCAUACUAGUUAAGUCCCUCUUGACUUUCCAUUCAGUCACAUGAGUUGUAAGAUCAUCAUUGAUCGUGUCCGUGAAAGUCAUAAUAAUAUUAGCUAGUGCUUCAUCUAUCUUUUCCGGAUUUGAUGAUUCGAAAAUGCGCCUAAAAUAACUAGUAGCAAUGCUACCAUCACUUCUUCAUC